Molecule: ribosomal RNA, 483 nt
Filed under: uncultured bacterium
Lineage: Bacteria
Description: partial 16S ribosomal RNA
Rfam family: Bacterial small subunit ribosomal RNA
Source: RNAcentral
UUGCACGCUGGCGGCAGGCCUAACACAUGCAAGUCGAGCGGAUGAAGGGAGCUUGCUCCUGGAUUCAGCGGCGGACGGGUGAGUAAUGCCUAGGAAUCUGCCUGGUAGUGGGGGAUAACGUCCGGAAACGGGCGCUAAUACCGCAUACGUCCUGAGGGAGAAAGUGGGGGAUCUUCGGACCUCACGCUAUCAGAUGAGCCUAGGUCGGAUUAGCUAGUUGGUGGGGUAAAGGCCUACCAAGGCGACGAUCCGUAACUGGUCUGAGAGGAUGAUCAGUCACACUGGAACUGGAACACGGUCCAGACUCCUACGGGAGGCAGCAGUGGGGAAUAUUGGACAAUGGGCGAAAGCCUGAUCCAGCCAUGCCGCGUGUGUGAAGAAGGUCUUCGGAUUGUAAAGCACUUUAAGUUGGGAGGAAGGGCAGUAAGUUAAUACCUUGCUGUUUUGACGUUACCAACAGAAUAAGCACCGGCUAACUUCGUG